GACGAACGCUGGCGGCGUGCUUAACACAUGCAAGUCGAACGGAAAGGCCCUUCUUUUGUGGGGUGCUCGAGUGGCGAACGUGUGAGUAACACGUUAGUAACCUGCCCUUGACUUUGGGAUAACUUCAGGAAACUUUGGCUAAUACCGGAUAGGAGCUCCUGCUGCAUGGUGGGGGUUGGAUAGUUUCAGCGGUUGUGUAUGGACUCGCGGCUUAUCAGCUUGUUGUUGAGGUAGUGGCUUACCAAGGCUUUGACGCGUAGCCGGCCUGAGAGGGUGACAGGCCACAUUGGGACGGAGAUACGGCCCAGACUACAACGAGAGACAGCAGUAGGGAAGAGAGCACAAUGGGCGGAAGCAUGAUGAAGGAACGCCGCGUGCGGGAUGAGGGCCUUCGGGUGAUAAACCGGUUUCGACUGUGACGAAGCGUGAGUGAAGGGAAUGGGUAAAGAAGCACCGGCUAACUAAGUG
This 468-nucleotide ribosomal RNA is filed under the name uncultured bacterium. Its description in RNAcentral is "partial 16S ribosomal RNA". It matches the Rfam family "Bacterial small subunit ribosomal RNA", at positions 28 to 507 of the family's 1533-position model. The record is from RNAcentral.